AGAGUUUGAUCCUGGCUCAGCGCGAACGCUGGCGGCAUGCCUAACACAUGCAAGUCGAACGGAAAGUGGGGCAACUCACUUUCAGUGGCAAACGGGUGAGUAACGCGUGAAUAACCUGCCUUUGAGAAGGGGAUAACUGUCCGAAAGGAUAGCUAAUACCCUAUAAUGUCCUUUGUCACAAAGGCAAAGGAUGAAAGCGAGGCUGUCAAAGGCUUCGGCUCAAAGAGGGGUUCGCGUCCUAUCAGGUAGUUGGUGGGGUAAUGGCCUACCAAGCCAAUGACGGGUAGCUGGUCUUAGAGGAUGAUCAGCCACAGUGGGACUGAGACACGGCCCGCACCCCUACGGGGGGCAGCAGUGGGGAAUCGUGGGCAAUGGACGAAAGUCUGACCCCGCAAUGCCGCGUGAGGGAAGAAGCCCUUCGGGGUGUAAACCUCUGUCAGAUGGGAAGAUGGGACCGAGGGCUAAUACCUCUUGGUCUUGACGGUACCAUCAGAGGAAGGGACGGCUAACUACGUGCCAGCAGCCGCGGUAAUACGUAGGUCCCGAGCGUUGCGCGAUGUUACUGGGCGUAAAGCGUCCGUAGCUGGUUUCGUAAGCGGAUUGUCAAAACCCGAAGCUCAACUUCGGCAAGGCAUUCCGAACUGCGUUACUUGAGUCCUGUUCAGGUAGGCGGAAUUCCCGGUGUAGCGGUGAAAUGCGUAGAUAUCGGGAGGAACACCAGUGGCGAAGGCGGCCUACUGGGACGGUACUGACGGUCAUGGACGAAAGCUGGGGGAGCAAACCGGAUUAGAUACCCGGGUAGUCCCAGCCGUAAACGAUGGAUGUUAGGUGUAGUGAUAACUUCGCUGCACCCCAGCUAACGCGUUAAACAUCCCGCCUGGGGAGUACGGGCGCAAGCCUGAAACUCAAAGGAAUUGGCGGGGGCCCGCACAACCGGUGGAGCGUCUGGUUUAAUUCGAUGCUAACCGAAAAACCUUACCAGGGUUUGAAAUGGUAGGAAAGGCUGUCUAAAGAUAGCCGUGUUUCCCUUUUGGGAGAAAUCCUACCACAGGUGGUGCAUGGCCGUCGUCAGCUCGUGUUGUGAGAUGUUGGGUUAAGUCCCGCAACGAGCGCAACCC
Molecule: ribosomal RNA, 1118 nt
Filed under: uncultured bacterium
Lineage: Bacteria
Description: bacterial SSU rRNA
Rfam family: Bacterial small subunit ribosomal RNA
Source: RNAcentral